RNAcentral lists this ribosomal RNA (469 nucleotides) under uncultured microorganism. Its description in RNAcentral is "bacterial SSU rRNA". It matches the Rfam family "Bacterial small subunit ribosomal RNA", at positions 9 to 524 of the family's 1533-position model. The record is from RNAcentral.
GAGUUUGAUCGUGGCUCAGAGCGAACGCUGGCGGCAGGCUUAACACAUGCAAGUCGAGCGGGCGUAGCAAUACGUCAGCGGCAGACGGGUGAGUAACACGUGGGAACGUACCUUUUGGUUCGGAACAACUGAGGGAAACUUCAGCUAAUACCGGAUAAGCCCUAACGGGGAAAGAUUUAUCGCCGAAAGAUCGGCCCGCGUCUGAUUAGCUAGUUGGUGAGGUAAUGGCUCACCAAGGCGACGAUCAGUAGCUGGUCUGAGAGGAUGAUCAGCCACACUGGGACUGAGACACGGCCCAGACUCCUACGGGAGGCAGCAGUGGGGAAUAUUGGACAAUGGGGCAACCCUGAUCCAGCCAUGCCGCGUGAGUGAUGAAGGCCCUAGGGUUGUAAAGCUCUUUGUGCGGGAAGAUAAUGACGGUACCGCAAGAAUAAGCCCCGACUAACUUCGUGCCAGCCGCCGCCGUAAU